UCUACUCUUCAGAAACAAAGAAGAAUAACUAUCUACCUCUCUCUCUUUCUAUCUCUAUCUUUCUACUCUAUCUCUCUAUCUCUAUCUCUCUCUAUCUUUCUCCUCUGUAAGAACAAGAAGCUGAAGGUUCAUAAAAAAAACCAUGGAUUUCUACUAAAUCAACACACAAAAUUCGUUUUUGGUGAAGAUCAAGUUGCUCCUCUUGGUAUAUAAACCCUUGAAAAAAACAUCAAAGGGGAAGUGUUUGAGGAAGUGAACAGAUUUGGUUUGUUUACGGCGUAGACGAUUCGAACGUCCUCAAGUUGUGAUUGAACUGUUUUAUGGUAAAACACCAAGUGAUUUGGUCACUCACUUGGCAUGCCUCUUGAUUCGGAUCUUUUGCCAUCUUGACUUUGGAUUUGUAGUUCGUCUUGGAUUAUGGAACUUGUCCGUGUUAAGUACGAACUAGGAAGCCAUUUUUAAUAUGGUUCUUGAUUCUCUUGUCUAUUGGGUUUUGACCCUACUUGAUUUGGGGCUUCGGUCCAUCUUGAUAUCUGAUUAUGCUUAGUGUGAUGGCAUGACGUACAUAUUGGGCGAAAAAUGGAUAUUUGGUAUACUUCCUUAAAUUGAUAGUAUACACUUUCUAGACUCUUGAGCAUUGUUAUUGAUAUUUGGAAACACUUCAAAGUUUGAUAUUGAUAUGUUUGAUAUAUUUGUUCACUUGUUUUAAAUUAUGUUAAAUUGAGCUAACUAUGACUGAAAAGGGUAAUUGGAGAAUUUAA
Non-coding RNA from Nicotiana tabacum (common tobacco), 761 nucleotides. NCBI's taxonomy places the organism in Eukaryota, Viridiplantae, Streptophyta, Magnoliopsida, Solanales, Solanaceae. The record is from RefSeq and is a predicted model, not a curated record.